GGGGUCGUGGCGGCGGCUUACCAUGCAAGUCGAGCGGGGAAGGGUAGCUUGCUACCUAACCUAGCGGCGGACGGGUGAGUAAUGCUUAGGAAUCUGCCUAUUAGUGGGGGACAACAUUCCGAAAGGAAUGCUAAUACCGCAUACGCCCUACGGGGGAAGGCAGGGGAUCUUCGGACCUUGCGCUAAUAGAUGAGCCUAAGUCAGAUUAGCUAGUUGGUGGGGUAAAGGCCUACCAAGGCGACGAUCUGUAGCGGGUCUGAGAGGAUGAUCCGCCACACUGGGACUGAGACACGGCCCAGACUCCUACGGGAGGCAGCAGUGGGGAAUAUUGGACAAUGGGCGCAAGCCUGAUCCAGCCAUGCCGCGUGUGUGAAGAAGGCCUUUUGGUUGUAAAGCACUUUAAGCGAGGAGGAGGCUACCGAGAUUAAUACUCUUGGAUAGUGGACGUUACUCGCAGAAUAAGCACCGGCUAACUCUGUGCCAGCAGCCGCGGUAAUACAGAGGGUGCGAGCGUUAAUCGGAUUUACUGGGCGUAAAGCGUGCGUAGGCGGCUUUUUAAGUCGGAUGUGAAAUCCCUGAGCUUAACUUAGGAAUUGCAUUUGAUACUGGGAAGCUAGAGUAUGGGAGAGGAUGGUAGAAUUCCAGGUGUAGCGGUGAAAUGCGUAGAGAUCUGGAGGAAUACCGAUGGCGAAGGCAGCCAUCUGGCCUAAUACUGACGCUGAGGUACGAAAGCAUGGGGAGCAAACAGGAUUAGAUACCCUGAUAGUCCAUGCCGUAAACGAUGUCUACUAGCCGUUGGGGCCUUUGAGGCUUUAGUGGCGCAGCUAACGCGAUAAGUAGACCGCCUGGGGAGUACGGUCGCAAGACUAAAACUCAAAUGAAUUGACGGGGGCCCGCACAAGCGGUGGAGCAUGUGGUUUAAUUCGAUGCAACGCGAAGAACCUCACCUGGUCUUGACUAGUAAGAACUUUCCAGAGAUGGAUUGGUGCCUUCG
Molecule: ribosomal RNA, 994 nt
Filed under: uncultured bacterium
Lineage: Bacteria
Description: bacterial SSU rRNA
Rfam family: Bacterial small subunit ribosomal RNA
Source: RNAcentral